Non-coding RNA from Picea glauca (white spruce), 121 nucleotides. The record is from Rfam. Lineage: Eukaryota; Viridiplantae; Streptophyta; Pinopsida; Pinales; Pinaceae.
ACAUGCCUACAACAUAGAUUUAAUGCACCAGAUCCCAUUAGAACUCCAUAGUUAAGUGCACCCAAGCUAGAGUAGUAUUGGGAUGGGUGACUAGCUGGGAAGUCCUAGUGUUUUACAUGCC